Molecule: ribosomal RNA, 253 nt
Filed under: uncultured bacterium
Lineage: Bacteria
Description: partial 16S ribosomal RNA
Rfam family: Bacterial small subunit ribosomal RNA
Source: RNAcentral
UACGUAGGGUGCGAGCGUUGUCCGGAAUUAUUGGGCGUAAAGAGCUCGUAGGCGGCUUGUCGCGUCGGAUGUGAAAGCCCGGGGCUUAACCCCGGGUCUGCAUUCGAUACGGGCAGGCUAGAGUUCGGUAGGGGAGAUCAGAAUUCCUGGUGUAGCGGUGAAAUGCGCAGAUAUCAGGAGGAACACCGGUGGCGAAGGCGGAUCUCUGGGCCGAUACUGACGCUGAGGAGCGAAAGCGUGGGGAGCGAACAGG